GAUGAACGCUGGCGGCGUGCCUAAUACAUGCAAGUCGAACGGGGAGUAGCAAUACUCUUAGUGGCGAACGGGUGAGUAACGCGUUGGUACCUGCCCCGAAGCGGGGGAUAACGGACCGAAAGGUCCGCUAAUACCCCAUGUGCUCGGUAACGAGUAAAGGUGAAAACCACUUUGGGAGGGGCCUGCGUCCCAUCAGCUAGUUGGUAAGGUAACGGCUUACCAAGGCGAUGACGGGUAGGGGACCUGAGAGGGUGGCCCCCCACAAUGGAACUGAAACACGGUCCAUACACCUACGGGUGGCAGCAGUAGGGAAUAUUGGUAAUGGGCGCAAGCCUGAACCAGCAACGCCGCGUGUGCGAUGACGGCCUUCGGGUUGUAAAGCACUUUUGACUGGGACGAGGAAGGACGGGACCGGUCGAAUCAGCCUCGGCUAACUACGU
Molecule: ribosomal RNA, 440 nt
Filed under: uncultured bacterium
Lineage: Bacteria
Description: partial 16S ribosomal RNA
Rfam family: Bacterial small subunit ribosomal RNA
Source: RNAcentral